CAAAGAAAAGAAAAAAUAGAAAAAAAACAAGAAAAGAUUAAAGAAGAUAGCAAAGUUGGAGGACUUAUACAACAUGUAUAUCAUGACUUAUUGCAAACCUACAAUUAAGUGUUAUUAAUUAUGUAUGUAAAUAUUAACACAUUUUUUAAAUUUAAAUUUUAUUUUUAAUUGAUACCAAACAUUAUCUUCACUGCUAUGGUAUCAACUUGGCCAGGCUGAACUACAUUCCCCAGAAUUUCUUUUUCUGUGUGUCUCUGGUUAGGAUGGUCCCCAAGAGAUAUUCUUGCAGAAGAUUUGAGAAAGAAAGCUAAGUAGCAGUCAUUUUGUAGCUCAUGCUAACUCACCUGCUGACUUAUCUUGUCACAUGGCAGUAUUUGUGCCUGCAACUACCCCACCUUCCUGUGGGUUCUCCUUCAACCUCUGUAAUUUUUGAGCCAAAUGUCUGUGUUUAGCUUCAAGCAAAGGACCCUGUCUUCUGUAGAAUACUACAACACCAAGGAGAGGCAACAAGAGCUGACACAGAUUUCAGUUCAUCCUGUGGGGAUCCAGUUCAUGCUUGUGGGUUCCAGCUUGUUCUAAUAUUCCCCACUUUACCUCUUUCUUCCUUUCUUGAUAACCUGCCCCACAGUCUUUAUAACGCUGAAGCUUGAAGUGCAUCCCAGUGGUUCUGCUUCUUUUAUUGAAUCUUGACUGCUACAUAUCAAUGACUCAACUAAAUGAUCAAAAACUUGAAUAAACAUUUUAUAAAAGAAGAUAUCCAUGUAACUAAUAACCAAUUAUUUUUCAUGGACCUGUUGCAAUUGUUGACUCUCACAAUGUUAAUUAUGAAUAAAAUUAGGUGCAGUAAAGUGUAUAGUCAAGAAAAGGAUCAUGGAGGAAGAGGAUCAGUAAACACAACUCAAAGGAAAGGAUGAUAUCCCACCAGGAUUAAAGUGAAAUUGGUCAUUUUAAGACCAGUGCCAAAAGGACUCCUGUUUCUUCCCCA
This 985-nucleotide long non-coding RNA is filed under the name Homo sapiens (human). Its description in RNAcentral is "non-protein coding lnc-ZNF391-3:1". Lineage: Eukaryota; Metazoa; Chordata; Mammalia; Primates; Hominidae. The record is from RNAcentral.